UGUGUGGAAAUUUUGUUAUUUGAAUGAAGAAAAACUUUUAGUAUAUGUAAUAUUUGUAAACAACAUUUUAAAUAUACAUCUGGUGGGAGUGGAGGUUCAACGGGGGAUUAAAAAAACAUUUGAUUAAUAAGCAUAGUAAAGAGUGGUUUGCAUAUAUAUCUUCUCUUGAUGUUUGUGAAAAUUCUAACAUUGAAACAUCGGGUAGAGG
Molecule: long non-coding RNA, 208 nt
Filed under: Solanum tuberosum (potato)
Lineage: Eukaryota; Viridiplantae; Streptophyta; Magnoliopsida; Solanales; Solanaceae
Description: long non-coding RNA (STUB_LNC008236)
Source: RNAcentral